GUAGGUGGCAAGCGUUGUCCGGAAUUAUUGGGCGUAAAGCGCGCGCAGGCGGUCCUUUAAGUCUGAUGUGAAAGCCCACGGCUCAACCGUGGAGGGUCAUUGGAAACUGGGGGGCUUGAGUACAGAAGAGGAAAGCGGAAUUCCAAGUGUAGCGGUGAAAUGCGUAGAGAUUUGGAGGAACACCAGUGGCGAAGGCGGCUUUCUGGUCUGUAACUGACGCUGAGGCGCGAAAGCGUGGGGAGCAAACAGGGAUUAGAUACCCUGGUAGUCCACGCCGUAAACGAUGAGUGCUAAGUGUUAGGGGGUUUCCCGCCCCUUAGUGCUGCAGCUAACGCAUUAAGCACUCCGCCUGGGGAGUACGGCCGCAAGGCUG
RNAcentral lists this ribosomal RNA (373 nucleotides) under uncultured organism. RNAcentral describes it as "partial 16S ribosomal RNA". It matches the Rfam family "Bacterial small subunit ribosomal RNA", at positions 527 to 896 of the family's 1533-position model. The record is from RNAcentral.